RNAcentral lists this ribosomal RNA (245 nucleotides) under uncultured Actinomycetales bacterium. RNAcentral describes it as "partial 16S ribosomal RNA". It matches the Rfam family "Bacterial small subunit ribosomal RNA", at positions 88 to 334 of the family's 1533-position model. The record is from RNAcentral. Lineage: Bacteria; Bacillati; Actinomycetota; Actinomycetes; Actinomycetales.
UGCUCGAGUGGCGAACGGGUGAGUAACACGUGAGUAACCUGCCCUUGACUCUGGGAUAACUUCAGGAAACUGGGGCUAAUACCGGAUAGGAGCUCCUGCUGCAUGGUGGGGGUUGGAAAGUUUCGGCGGUUGGGGAUGGACUCGCGGCUUAUCAGCUUGUUGGUGGGGUAGUGGCUUACCAAGGCUUUGACGGGUAGCCGGCCUGAGAGGGUGACCGGCCACAUUGGGACUGAGAUACGGCCCAG